This 645-nucleotide ribosomal RNA is filed under the name uncultured beta proteobacterium. RNAcentral's name for it is "bacterial SSU rRNA". It matches the Rfam family "Bacterial small subunit ribosomal RNA", at positions 1 to 635 of the family's 1533-position model. Lineage: Bacteria; Pseudomonadati; Pseudomonadota; Betaproteobacteria. The record is from RNAcentral.
GAAUUCACUAGUGAUUGAGUUUGAUCCUGGCUCAGAUUGAACGCUGGCGGCAUGCCUUACACAUGCAAGUCGAACGGUAACAGCACUUCGGUGGCUGACGAGUGGCGAACGGGUGAGUAAUACAUCGGAACGUGCCCGAGAGUGGGGGAUAACGCAGCGAAAGCUGUGCUAAUACCGCAUACGAUCUACGGAUGAAAGCAGGGGACCGCAAGGCCUUGCGCUCAUGGAGCGGCCGAUGGCAGAUUAGGUAGUUGGUGGGAUAAAAGCUUACCAAGCCGACGAUCUGUAGCUGGUCUGAGAGGACGACCAGCCACAUUGGGACUGAGACACGGCCCAGACUCCUACGGGAGGCAGCAGUGGGGAAUUUUGGACAAUGGGCGAAAGCCUGAUCCAGCCAUGCCGUGUGCAGGAUGAAGGCCUUCGGGUUGUAAACUGCUUUUGUACGGAACGAAAAGGUCUUUUCUAAUAAAGAAGGCUCAUGACGGUACCGUAAGAAUAAGCACCGGCUAACUACGUGCCAGCAGCCGCGGUAAUACGUAGGGUGCAAGCGUUAAUCGGAAUUACUGGGCGUAAAGCGUGCGCAGGCGGUUAUAUAAGACAGAUGUGAAAUCCCCGGGCUCAACCUGGGAACUGCAUUAGUGACUG